GAAUAUUGGACAAUGGGGGCAACCCUGAUCUAGCCAUGCCGCGUGAGUGACGAAGGCCCUAGGGUCGUAAAGCUCUUUCGCCAGGGAUGAUAAUGACCGUACCUGGUAAAGAAACCCCGGCUAACUCCGUGCCAGCAGCCGCGGUAAUACGGAGGGGGUUAGCGUUGUUCGGAAUUACUGGGCGUAAAGCGCACAUAGGCGGACCGAAAAGUUGGGGGUGAAAUCCCAGGGCUCAACCCUGGAACUGCCUCCAAAACUGCCGGUCUAGAGUUCGAGAGAGGUGAGUGGAAUUCCGAGUGUAGAGGUGAAAUUCGUAGAUAUUCGGAGGAACACCAGUGGCGAAGGCGGCUCACUGGCUCGAUACUGACGCUGAGGUGCGAAAGUGUGGGGAGCAAACAGG
RNAcentral lists this ribosomal RNA (400 nucleotides) under uncultured bacterium. RNAcentral describes it as "bacterial SSU rRNA". It matches the Rfam family "Bacterial small subunit ribosomal RNA", at positions 359 to 776 of the family's 1533-position model. The record is from RNAcentral.